Diabrotica virgifera virgifera (western corn rootworm) is the source of this 297-nucleotide long non-coding RNA. RefSeq lists it as uncharacterized. The transcript is spliced from 3 exons. Lineage: Eukaryota; Metazoa; Arthropoda; Insecta; Coleoptera; Chrysomelidae. The record is from RefSeq and is a predicted model, not a curated record.
UAGCAGACAGUUACCCUGGAGCUGCAGACUCUGAAGAGCGGUGUUUGGCACUAGUGAUUUGGUUGAUUUUUCUAAGAUUGAUAUGGACUUUGGAGUGGCAUUUGGAAAUGGAAAUGGACUUAUUGAUGGAUGGGACAGCAAUUUCGAAAGAAUUAUCUCCUUUCUUCAGUGUGAAAGUCAUAUCAAGGAUAAAACAAAUAAAUUUUUAUUUGAAAAGAUUACCUGCCCAUGAAGACAUUACGGAAUGUACGGUGCAUUUUUUCAGUCAGGUACCCAGUGUCAUGUGUAGUGUGUGUG